GUUUACAGCCGUACUGCAUUGGAUGCACCUGCUCUCAUCUGAUCUUGGAUGCCAAGCAGAGCUGGGUCUGCUUAGCGGUUUCUUGGGAGACUUGCUUGGGGGACUUGCUUGGGGGACU
This 118-nucleotide ribosomal RNA is filed under the name Paramormyrops kingsleyae. The record is from RNAcentral. Lineage: Eukaryota; Metazoa; Chordata; Actinopteri; Osteoglossiformes; Mormyridae.